Small RNA from Citrobacter koseri ATCC BAA-895, 278 nucleotides. It matches the Rfam family "5' ureB small RNA". Lineage: Bacteria; Pseudomonadati; Pseudomonadota; Gammaproteobacteria; Enterobacterales; Enterobacteriaceae. The record is from Rfam.
CCGCCUGCUGCGGGCAGAUCCAGUGAAUAUGCGUGUCCACGCCGCCUGCGGUAACGAUCUUUCCUUCACCGGCGAUCGCCUCCGUGCCGACGCCAAUCGGGAUCGUCACGUUGGGCUGAAUAUCCGGGUUACCGGCUUUGCCGAUGGCGAAGAUCCUGCCGUCUUUGAUGCCGAUGUCCGCCUUGACGAUCCCCCAGUGAUCGACGAUCAGCGCGUUGGUGAUCACCAGAUCCACACACGCGCGAGCACGCAUUUGCCCCUGGCCCAUACCGUCGCGG